RNAcentral lists this ribosomal RNA (729 nucleotides) under uncultured bacterium. RNAcentral describes it as "bacterial SSU rRNA". It matches the Rfam family "Bacterial small subunit ribosomal RNA", at positions 623 to 1387 of the family's 1533-position model. The record is from RNAcentral.
GCAGUGGGUACGGGCAGGCUAGAGUGCGGUAGGGGAGAUGGGAAUUCCUGGUGUAGCGGUGGAAUGCGCAGAUAUCAGGAGGAACACCAAUGGCGAAGGCACAUCUCUGGGCCGUAACUGACGCUGAGGAGCGAAAGCGUGGGGAGCGAACAGGAUUAGAUACCCUGGUAGUCCACGCCGUAAACGGUGGGUGCUAGCUGUGGGCCACAUUCCACGUGGUCCGUGACGAAGUUAACACAUUAAGCACCCCGCCUGGGGAGUACGGCCGCAGGCUAAAACUCAAAGGAAUUGACGGGGGCCCGCACAAGCGGCGGAGCAUGCGGAUUAAUUCGAUGCAACGCGAAAAACCUUACCAAGGCUUGACAUAUAGAGAAAAGUGCAAAAUGCACUCCCCGCAAGGUCUCUAUACAGGUGGUGCAUGGUUGUCGUCAGCUCGUGUCGUGAGAUGUUGGGUUAAGUCCCGCAACGAGCGCAACCCUCGUCCUAUGUUGCCAGCACGUAAUGGUGGGAACUCAUGGGAUACUGCCGGGGUCAACUCGGAGGAAGGUGGGGAUGACGUCAAAUCAUCAUGCCCUUAUGUCUUGGCUUCACGCAUGCUACAUGCCGGUACGAGGCUGCAUCCGCAGGGGAGCGAUCCCAAAAGCGGCUCAGUUCGAUUGAGCUGCACUCGACUCAGAGCGAGUCGUAGAUCGUAAUCAGCACGCUACGUGAUACGUCCGGUCUUGACCA